UACAGAGGUCUCAAGCGUUGUUCGGAAUUACUGGGCAUAAAGGGUGCGUAGGCGGCUUGUUAAGUCAGGGGUGAAAUCCCACGGCCCAACCGUGGAACUGCCUUUGAUACUGGCGAGCUUGAGUGCGUGAGGGGUAACCGGAACGAGUAGUGUAGCGGUGAAAUGCGUAGAUAUUACUCGGAAGCCAAAGGCGAAGGCAGGUUACUGGUACGCAACUGACGCUGAGGCACGAAAGCGUGGGGAGCAAACAGG
Molecule: ribosomal RNA, 252 nt
Filed under: uncultured bacterium
Lineage: Bacteria
Description: partial 16S ribosomal RNA
Rfam family: Bacterial small subunit ribosomal RNA
Source: RNAcentral